AGUCCCCUGCCCUGCGCGUGACUGAUGUAACUUGUACCUCGUAAUGAUUUCAAUAGGGAGCUGUCCCGGGAAAGGGUGUGCAUGCCCAGAUAAGACUGGGUAGCCUAACUUUCCUUCAUGGCGCCCACCUGGUUAACUCCAGGUCCAAGUUAUCAGCACGGCAAGAGCGGGGGUUUU
Molecule: non-coding RNA, 177 nt
Filed under: Nitrospirota bacterium
Lineage: Bacteria; Pseudomonadati; Nitrospirota
Description: 6S RNA
Rfam family: 6S / SsrS RNA
About the family: E. coli 6S RNA was the first non coding RNA to be sequenced, but its function was unknown until recently. It consists of 184 nucleotides that fold into an extended hairpin structure with a large single-stranded internal bulge.
Source: RNAcentral